RNAcentral lists this non-coding RNA (258 nucleotides) under Clostridium neonatale. RNAcentral's name for it is "T-box". It matches the Rfam family "T-box leader". Rfam says of the family: Uncharged tRNA acts as the effector for transcription antitermination of genes in the T-box leader family. T-boxes are found upstream of many aminoacyl-tRNA synthetase genes and some amino acid biosynthetic genes usually in Gram-positive bacteria. The anticodon of a specific tRNA base pairs to a specifier sequence within the T-box motif, and the NCCA acceptor tail of the tRNA base pairs to a conserved bulge in the T-box antiterminator hairpin. Lineage: Bacteria; Bacillati; Bacillota; Clostridia; Eubacteriales; Clostridiaceae. The record is from RNAcentral.
AUAAAUGUGUUGAUUGAGAAGAGUAUACUUACAAAAUUAUUAAAGAGAGCCAUGGUAUGCUGAAAAGUGGUAUAUAUUUUGUAUUUAGAAAAUCACUCAUGAACAGCCUGCUGAAAGAAGAAAUUUCAAUUAAGCAAGGACGGAUAACACCCGUUAAAAUGUUUUACAUUGACAAGAAUAAGCUUAAGAUGUAAUAAGAGAGGUUGUAGAAAUACAGCAAUUUAAGUGGUACCGCAGAACUAGGGUUUUGUCUUAAUA